AUACGAAAGGUGCAAGCGUUGUUCGGAUUUACUGGGCGUAAAGAGAUCGUAGGUGGUUUAUUAAGUCGGAUGUGAAAUCCCGGGGCUCAACCUCGGAACUGCAUUCGAUACUGGUAGACUAGAGUUUGGGAGGGGUAAGCGGAAUUCCGUGUGUAGCAGUGAAAUGCGUAGAUAUAUGGAGGAACACCUGAGGCGAAGGCGGCUUACUGGACCAAUACUGACACUCAGGAUCGAAAGCAUGGGUAGCAAACAGGAUUAGAAACCCCAGUAGUCC
Molecule: ribosomal RNA, 274 nt
Filed under: uncultured bacterium
Lineage: Bacteria
Description: partial 16S ribosomal RNA
Rfam family: Bacterial small subunit ribosomal RNA
Source: RNAcentral